GUGGGGAAUAUUGGACAAUGGGCGCAAGCCUGAUCCAGCCAUGCCGCGUGAGUGAUGAAGGCCCUAGGGUUGUAAAGCUCUUUCACCGGUGAAGAUAAUGACGGUAACCGGAGAAGAAGCCCCGGCUAACUUCGUGCCAGCAGCCGCGGUAAUACGAAGGGGGCUAGCGUUGUUCGGAAUUACUGGGCGUAAAGCGCACGUAGGCGGACUGGUCAGUUAGGGGUUAAAUCCCAGGGCUCAACCCUGGAACUGCCUUUAAUACUGCCAGUCUAGAGUUCGAGAGAGGUGAGUGGAAUUCCGAGUGUAGAGGUGAAAUUCGUAGAUAUUCGGAGGAACACCAGUGGCGAAGGCGGCUCACUGGCUCGAUACUGACGCUGAGGUGCGAAAGCGUGGGGAGCAAACAGGAUUAGAAACCCUAGUAGUCC
This 425-nucleotide ribosomal RNA is filed under the name uncultured bacterium. RNAcentral's name for it is "partial 16S ribosomal RNA". It matches the Rfam family "Bacterial small subunit ribosomal RNA", at positions 354 to 796 of the family's 1533-position model. The record is from RNAcentral.